This 253-nucleotide ribosomal RNA is filed under the name uncultured bacterium. RNAcentral's name for it is "partial 16S ribosomal RNA". It matches the Rfam family "Bacterial small subunit ribosomal RNA", at positions 524 to 776 of the family's 1533-position model. The record is from RNAcentral.
UACGUAGGGGGCUAGCGUUGUCCGGAAUCAUUGGGCGUAAAGCGCGCGUAGGCGGCCCGGUAAGUCCGCUGUAAAAGUCCAGGGCUCAACCCUGGAAAGCCGGUGGAUACUGUCGGGCUCGAGUCCGGAAGAGGCGAGUGGAAUUCCUGGUGUAGCGGUGGAAUGCGCAGAUAUCAGGAGGAACACCGAUGGCGAAGGCAGCUCGCUGGGACGGUACUGACGCUAAGGCGCGAAAGCGUGGGGAGCGAACAGG